RNAcentral lists this unclassified non-coding RNA (317 nucleotides) under uncultured Chaetothyriales. Its description in RNAcentral is "sequence contains ITS1". The stretch from base 1 to 104 matches the Rfam family "5.8S ribosomal RNA", at positions 50 to 154 of the family's 154-position model. The record is from RNAcentral. Lineage: Eukaryota; Fungi; Ascomycota; Eurotiomycetes; Chaetothyriales.
GAAAUGCGAUAAGUAAUGCGAAUUGCAGAAUCCGUGAGUCAUCGAAUCUUUGAACGCACAUUGCGCCCUUUGGUAUUCCGAAGGGCAUGCCUGUUCGAGCGUCAUUAUCACCCCUCAAGCCCGGCUUGUUGUUGGUGGCGGCGGGACCUUCUAGGUCCCGCCCCGCCCAAAGAUAAUGACGGCGUCUGCGAGGACUCCUGUACACUGAGCUUUCGGGCACGUACACGGCUAGAAGUCCAGGCGCCGGUCACCGUCCUUCUCGGACACUUUUUACCAAGGUUGACCUCGGAUCAGGUAGGGAUACCCGCUGAACUUAA